AUUGCAAAAUCAAGCUAUCCUACUACAGAUGCAACACGGAAUCCUAAUAUGAACACACCACCUACCUCUAUAAAUACAGAACAUUGGGCCAUUAUUCAGGUACGUUUUUCAUUGUUCUUCAACACAUAGCCUUACGCAUAUAUUUCCCUUUCUGACUUAAGCAUCGGAGGGGCGACGAGAACACACCUCGUUGCCUUUGUUUCAGGUACCGGAAGACCACUAUCGUGAUCAACCCGAAUCAUCAAACUCGGAAAAUCAACAGGUACGAUUUUUGGUAGCAUCAACAGGGUUACGUGAACUUUAGAAGGAUAAAAUAUAUUAAGAAUAUUUUAUUUAAGUGCACCUGCCUGGAAGUGACAAAGCUUCUUAACAUGGCCAGCGAAAAAUUAUUUGGCAAGCACGUGAUAUAAAUUGCAUGCAGAAUGAAUUAUUAGGCCUCUUAUGCAAGUGAAAGCCAAGCCGUCAUCCACCCGUCAUGCUCUGAAAUGGGACAAUUGUAAAGAUUUCCAUAUUUCUCGAAUUAAAGGUUGGAUGUACUCUAAAGUAAGUUACGUGUUACUUGUUUUGUACAAACACUUAUUGUACUAAUAAAG
RNAcentral lists this long non-coding RNA (593 nucleotides) under Olea europaea subsp. europaea. Lineage: Eukaryota; Viridiplantae; Streptophyta; Magnoliopsida; Lamiales; Oleaceae. The record is from RNAcentral.